CCCUUAGAUGUUCGGGGCCGCACGCGCGCUACACUGAAGGAAUCAGCACGUCUUUCUCCUUGUCCGAAAGGGCUGGGUAACCCGCUGAACCUCCUUCGUGCUAGGGAUUGGGGCUUGUAAUUCUUCCCCAUGAACGAGGAAUUCCCAGUAAGCGCGAGUCAUAAGCUCGCGUUGAUUACGUCCCUGCCCUUUGUACACACCGCCCGUCGCUACUACCGAUUGGAUGGUUUAGUGAGAUCCUCGGAUUGGUCCCGGAGCGGCCUCUGGUCGUGCCGGAGUGCCGAAAAGAAUGUCGAACUUGAUCAUCUAGAGGAAGUAAAAGUCGUAACA
Molecule: ribosomal RNA, 330 nt
Filed under: uncultured eukaryote
Lineage: Eukaryota
Description: partial 18S ribosomal RNA
Rfam family: Eukaryotic small subunit ribosomal RNA
Source: RNAcentral